Molecule: unclassified non-coding RNA, 439 nt
Filed under: Hevea brasiliensis (rubber tree)
Lineage: Eukaryota; Viridiplantae; Streptophyta; Magnoliopsida; Malpighiales; Euphorbiaceae
Source: RNAcentral
GUUCACUCGGCUCCAUUUUUACAUCAUCAUCUUGGGAUCUACACAAUGAAUAUAACCUGGAUAGAAGCUUGAGACCAUCUGCUACAACCUGCUCCUGAAUAUAGGAGCAGACUGCACUGACUGGCACUUUUUCCCAGAUCCUCCAAGCAAAGAAUUGGAACCAAGUACACGAGCUUCUAUAUCCAAUACAGCAUCCAUCUUCUCCUUCCACCCAAAUUCAUCUUUAGCUCGACCAUAUACUUCAAGAGAGUCAAUUCUGGGAAAUGUAGUGCCAUUGAAGGUAGGCCCAACAGAAAUCACAAAUUCUUCAUCCGCAAGGAGCGAUUCAGCUACAGUAAAUGGAAUAUCAUACCAGGACCGCAUGCCUUCAUCUAACUUAAUUACCCUCUGAAAAAUGGUAAUAUCAGAAGGAAUGUGGUUUGCUGAAGUGUUACCCACG